RNAcentral lists this unclassified non-coding RNA (332 nucleotides) under soil metagenome. RNAcentral's name for it is "partial contains 5.8S ribosomal RNA, internal transcribed spacer 2, and large subunit ribosomal RNA". The stretch from base 1 to 120 matches the Rfam family "5.8S ribosomal RNA", at positions 35 to 154 of the family's 154-position model. The record is from RNAcentral.
GAUGAAGAACGCAGCGAAAUGCGAUAAGUAAUGUGAAUUGCAGAAUUCAGUGAAUCAUCGAAUCUUUGAACGCACAUUGCGCCCGCCAGUAUUCUGGCGGGCAUGCCUGUCCGAGCGUCAUUUCAACCAUCAAGCCCCGGGCUUGUGUUGGGGACCUGCGUCCGACGCAGGCCCUGAAAACCAGUGGCGGGCUCGCUGUCCACACCGAGCGUAGUAACUAACCUCGCUAUGGAGUGGCGCGGGCGCCUGCCGUAAAACCCCCAAUUGCACAAGGUUGACCUCGGAUCAGGUAGGAAUACCCGCUGAACUUAAGCAUAUCAAUAAGCGGAGGA